Phyllostomus discolor (pale spear-nosed bat) is the source of this 323-nucleotide long non-coding RNA. RefSeq lists it as uncharacterized. Lineage: Eukaryota; Metazoa; Chordata; Mammalia; Chiroptera; Phyllostomidae. The transcript is spliced from 3 exons. The record is from RefSeq and is a predicted model, not a curated record.
GAAAAGCAUUAUACUAUAGUGAUUAAUAGUUUAGACCAGGAGUUUGACCAAGGAUGAAAGCCCAGCCCACUAUGAUCUAAAACAAGUCACUGUAUUUUUCGGACUAUAAGAUGCCUCCCCCCACCCCCGCCCCCGCCCAUUUGGAAGGAAUACUGGUUGUUAAUGCUGCUGCUGAGUUCUGUUUACAUUUACAUUGGUGAAAUAUUAUGUUAUCAAAUAUUUUGCCACAUUUUUUGCUUUAAAAAAUUUUCCCCCUAUUUUCCUCCUCUAAAACCUAGGCACGUCUUGUGGUCCGAAAAAUACAGUAACUUUGUUUAAAAUGC